UCCUCGCGACUGCAAUUUUCAGGGCGACAUUGCACUCGGUUUGGCAACGAUCACCGGCAAGCGGCAACUUGAUGUUUGCAGCGCGCAAGCAAAUCUCUGCGAAGGUACGAUGUGCCAGAUGUGCGAAGCCCACGUAUCACGAGAGGCCCCACCCAGUCGUCUAGCCGAUGACCUUCGCGAUGGAACGAGCCGAUCGUCAGCCCCAGUCAGUAGACCGGAAGAAUCCUCAUCAUUUGCAGCACCCAGUGUCCGUGAUGAGCUUCCUAGCUGUGCCGCUGUGCAUCCAAGGCGCCCAGCCCAGCGACCGGACACGAAUCAAUACUGACCAGGACC
Molecule: long non-coding RNA, 333 nt
Organism: Ixodes scapularis (black-legged tick)
Lineage: Eukaryota; Metazoa; Arthropoda; Arachnida; Ixodida; Ixodidae
Exons: 3
Source: RefSeq, a predicted model, not a curated record